UCUCAGAUGACUAUAGCUUGUGUCAAGUUGACAUACAACUAGCCAGCACCAUUCCUAUGCUUCAGAAGUGUUCUGGAAAAGAUUGGAAGACUGGGCUUUUGGACUGAAUAAAAGAUGGAGAGGCAGAAAGCCUGUCAAGCUCCAGAAUUUUCCCUCCUAAUGCCUUCAUCCAUCCAGAUGUUAUUAGCAAGUUCCUGCCAUAGCUUUGAGCCAUUCCAUCCCCAGCAUGGAUUCUGUUGACGUGAGACACGAUUGCUCCUGGCAGC
This is a non-coding RNA of Myodes glareolus (Bank vole), 266 nucleotides long. Lineage: Eukaryota; Metazoa; Chordata; Mammalia; Rodentia; Cricetidae. The record is from RefSeq and is a predicted model, not a curated record.